This 207-nucleotide ribosomal RNA is filed under the name uncultured bacterium. RNAcentral's name for it is "partial 16S ribosomal RNA". It matches the Rfam family "Bacterial small subunit ribosomal RNA", at positions 28 to 236 of the family's 1533-position model. The record is from RNAcentral.
GACGAACGCUGGCGGCGUGCUUAACACAUGCAAGUCGGGCGGUAAGGCCCUCGGGUACGACGAGCGGCGAACGGGUGGAGUAACACGUGGGUGACCUGCCUCUAGCUCUGGGAGUAAGCCUGGGAAACUGGGUCGUAAUACCGGAUAUGACUCCACGGCGCAUGUUGUGGGGUGGAAAGCCUUGUGUGGCUAGAGAUGGGCCCGCGG